GACGAACGCUGGCGGCGUGCUUAACACAUGCAAGUCGAGCGGUAAGGCCCUUUCGGGGGUACGACGAGCGGCGAACGGGUGAGUAACACGUGGGUGACCUGCCCUUAGCUCUGGGAUAAGCCUGGGAAACUGGGUCUAAUACCGGAUAUGACUCCAUGACGCAUGUUGUGGGGUGAAAGCCUUGUGCGGCUAGGGAUGGGCCCGCGGCCUAUCAGCUUGUUGGUGGGGUGAUGGCCACCAAGGCGACGACGGGUAGCCGGCCUGAGAGGGCGACCGGCCACACUGGGACUGAGACACGG
RNAcentral lists this ribosomal RNA (299 nucleotides) under uncultured bacterium. Its description in RNAcentral is "partial 16S ribosomal RNA". It matches the Rfam family "Bacterial small subunit ribosomal RNA", at positions 28 to 329 of the family's 1533-position model. The record is from RNAcentral.